Molecule: ribosomal RNA, 253 nt
Filed under: uncultured bacterium
Lineage: Bacteria
Description: partial 16S ribosomal RNA
Rfam family: Bacterial small subunit ribosomal RNA
Source: RNAcentral
UACAGAGGUCCCAAGCGUUGUUCGGAUUCAUUGGGCGUAAAGGGUGCGUAGGUGGCGUCGUAAGUCGGGUGUGAAAUCUCGGGGCUUAACUCCGAAACUGCAUUCGAUACUGCGGUGCUUGAGGACUGGAGAGGAGACUGGAAUUUACGGUGUAGCAGUGAAAUGCGUAGAGAUCGUAAGGAAGACCAGUGGCGAAGGCGGGUCUCUGGACAGUAACUGACACUCAACUACGAAAGCGUGGGGAGCAAACAGG